This 253-nucleotide ribosomal RNA is filed under the name uncultured bacterium. RNAcentral's name for it is "partial 16S ribosomal RNA". It matches the Rfam family "Bacterial small subunit ribosomal RNA", at positions 524 to 776 of the family's 1533-position model. The record is from RNAcentral.
GACAGAGGGUGCAAACGUUGUUCGGAAUUACUGGGCGUAAAGCGCGUGUAGGCGGCUUCGCAAGUCGGGUGUGAAAUCCCACGGCUCAACCGUGGAAGUGCAUUCGAAACUGCAAGGCUAGAGUCCUGGAGAGGAAGGUGGAAUGCUUGGUGUAGAGGUGAAAUUCGUAGAUAUCAAGCGGAACACCGGUGGCGAAGGCGGCCACCUGGACGGUAACUGACGCUGAGACGCGAAAGCGUGGGGAGCAAACAGG